Molecule: ribosomal RNA, 1480 nt
Filed under: Microbacterium paraoxydans
Lineage: Bacteria; Bacillati; Actinomycetota; Actinomycetes; Micrococcales; Microbacteriaceae
Description: bacterial SSU rRNA
Rfam family: Bacterial small subunit ribosomal RNA
Source: RNAcentral
GGGGGCAGCGGGGGGGGGUUUUUUUCUUUUUACUUUUACCCUUAUUCUAAUUGAUUUUUUCCCCCUUGGAAAAGGAAGCCCAGAGUCAAGGAAGAGACGGGAAGCGAUUUUUUUUGGGAUAAGGGCAACGGGUAGACACAAUUGACAACCUUCCCCUAGAUUUGGGAAAGCCGGGGAAACGGUUUUAAUCCAGAAUAUGGACUGAACCCCAUGUUUCCCUUUUGAAAAAUUUUUCGGUGGGGGAAGGCUCGGGGCCUAUCCAGCUUGUUGUGAGGUAAUGGCUCACCAAGGCGUUGACGGGUAGCCGCCUUGGAAGGUGACCGGCCCCACUGGGAUUGAGACACGGCCCAGAUUCCUACGGGAAGCAGCAGUGGGAAUAUUGCACAAUGGGCGCAAGCCUGAUGCAGCAACGCCGCUUGAAGGAUGACGGCCUUCGAGGUUGUAAACCUUUUUUUAGCAGGGAAGAAGCGAAAGUGACGGUACCUGCAGAAAAAGCGCCGGCUAAUUACGUGCCAGCAGCCGCGGUAAUACGUAGGGCGCAAGCGUUAUCCGGAAUUAUUGGGCGUAAAGAGCUCGUAGGCGGUUUGUCGCGUCUGCUGUGAAAUCCCGAGGCUCAACCUCGGGCCUGCAGUGGGUACGGGCAGACUAGAGUGCGGUAGGGGAGAUUGGAAUUCCUGGUGUAGCGGUGGAAUGCGCAGAUAUCAGGAGGAACACCGAUGGCGAAGGCAGAUCUCUGGGCCGUAACUGACGCUGAGGAGCGAAAGGGUGGGGAGCAAACAGGCUUAGAUACCCUGGUAGUCCACCCCGUAAACGUUGGGAACUAGUUGUGGGGUCCAUUCCACGGAUUCCGUGACGCAGCUAACGCAUUAAGUUCCCCGCCUGGGGAGUACGGCCGCAAGGCUAAAACUCAAAGGAAUUGACGGGGACCCGCACAAGCGGCGGAGCAUGCGGAUUAAUUCGAUGCAACGCGAAGAACCUUACCAAGGCUUGACAUAUACGAGAACGGGCCAGAAAUGGUCAACUCUUUGGACACUCGUAAACAGGUGGUGCAUGGUUGUCGUCAGCUCGUGUCGUGAGAUGUUGGGUUAAGUCCCGCAACGAGCGCAACCCUCGUUCUAUGUUGCCAGCACGUAAUGGUGGGAACUCAUGGGAUACUGCCGGGGUCAACUCGGAGGAAGGUGGGGAUGACGUCAAAUCAUCAUGCCCCUUAUGUCUUGGGCUUCACGCAUGCUACAAUGGCCGGUACAAAGGGCUGCAAUACCGUGAGGUGGAGCGAAUCCCAAAAAGCCGGUCCCAGUUCGGAUUGAGGUCUGCAACUCGACCUCAUGAAGUCGGAGUCGCUAGUAAUCGCAGAUCAGCAACGCUGCGGUGAAUACGUUCCCGGGUCUUGUACACACCGCCCGUCAAGUCAUGAAAGUCGGUAACACCUGAAGCCGGUGGCCUAACCCUUGUGGAGGAGCCGUCGAAGGUGAUGCGUUCU